RNAcentral lists this ribosomal RNA (253 nucleotides) under uncultured bacterium. Its description in RNAcentral is "partial 16S ribosomal RNA". It matches the Rfam family "Bacterial small subunit ribosomal RNA", at positions 524 to 776 of the family's 1533-position model. The record is from RNAcentral.
UACAGGGGGUGCAAACGUUGCUCGGAAUUAUUGGGCGUAAAGCGCGCGUAGGCGGCUACUUAAGUCGGAUGUGAAAGCCCUUGGCUCAACUGAGGAAGUGCACCCGAAACUGAGUGGCUUGAGUACUAAAGAGGGUCGCGGAAUUCCAGGUGUAGCGGUGAAAUGCGUAGAUAUCUGAAGGAACAUCAGUGGCGAAAGCGACUUCCUGGACCAAUACUGACGCUCAUGUGCGAAAGCGUGGGGAGCAAACAGG